RNAcentral lists this ribosomal RNA (448 nucleotides) under uncultured bacterium. RNAcentral's name for it is "partial 16S ribosomal RNA". It matches the Rfam family "Bacterial small subunit ribosomal RNA", at positions 28 to 523 of the family's 1533-position model. The record is from RNAcentral.
GACGAACGCUGGCGGCAGGCCUAACACAUGCAAGUCGAGCGCCCUCGCGAGGGGGAGCGGCGGACGGGUGAGUAACGCGUGGGAACGUGCCUCUUGCUUCGGAAUAGCCACGGGAAACUGGGGGUAAUACCGAAUGUGCCCUACGGGGGAAAGAUUUAUCGGCAAGAGAUCGGCCCGCGUUGGAUUAGGUAGUUGGUGGGGUAAUGGCCUACCAAGCCGACGAUCCAUAGCUGGUUUGAGAGGAUGAUCAGCCACACUGGGACUGAGACACGGCCCAGACUCCUACGGGAGGCAGCAGUGGGAAUCUUAGACAAUGGGCGCAAGCUUGAUCUAGCCAUGCCGCGUGAGCGAUGAAGGCCUUAGGGUUGUAAAGCUCUUUCGUGGGGGAAGAUAAUGACUGUACCCCAAGAAGAAGCCCCGGCUAACUCCGUGCCAGCCGCCGCCGUAA